ACUAUGUGCACCAUACUCUUUGCUUUUGUUAAAACCAACGGUUUUGCCAUCAUAUAACUGGUUAUGGUAUUUACGGGUACUGCCUUCGUUAGAAGGACAUGUAAAUUAUAAACGCCCCUUUCACUGCUUGCUGGAAAGUAGUACUUAAUUAUUGUGUUCAGAUGAACCCACAAGUAAUCGGCGAUAAGGACUAGCUCUUUUUAUCUCAAUUUGGUGAUAAAAUGAUUAAUGAUUUUAUUUGGAAUGUUUUGGGUGAUUUAAUAUGAUGAAAUCUUUCCUUAACGAGUGUCAACUUUAGAACUGAAUUUCCGAUUUGAAAGGUUUCGGAAAAGUUACGUAAGAAAGAGGAAAGAUUGGACGCUCUUCCAUAAAAUACUGAAAAUGAAAAUGGAAAACUAUCUGCUAAUAUUGGUUGUCGCGGUCUCAGUCAGCUUGUCAUAUUGCAGAACACAAUCCUACGAACAUUGCACUGCGAAAACCGACUUCUCAAUCAAGUCUGGAUAGCUACUUCGGAUAUCCAGAGAAGGCGGUUGACGGCAACACUGAGGGACAUUAUAUU
Molecule: long non-coding RNA, 559 nt
Organism: Nematostella vectensis (starlet sea anemone)
Lineage: Eukaryota; Metazoa; Cnidaria; Anthozoa; Actiniaria; Edwardsiidae
Exons: 3
Source: RefSeq, a predicted model, not a curated record